CCCCCAGCUUGCUUCCUGUUGGGGUCCAGACGCUGCCUCCAACAGGCUGAGGUUCCGUCUUUGCUAACUAACUGCUAACUCAGUUGUCCAUCACUGCUGACCACUUGUCCGUCACUUGCCCAUCUUCUAAAACUGGGGAAAGGUGAGGCUUGUCGACUGGAACUUUGGAAGAACACUGAGCAUGAUUUUCCUCCUCCUCCUCUUUUCCCCUUGGAUGGGAAUCUGACUUCAGAGAACACUCCUACUUUCUGUCAGUCCUGAGGGAAGCUUGGUCACAGAAGCCUUGCCCUUGUGAUGAAGGGCGGUGGGGGCCACACUGGAUGGAGAGCUAAUAUCCAGUUCUACAGCUAAGUAUUUGGAAGUCCACGUCCCUGCAGAUCUGAGCCGCAUUCACCAAUGCCAUCCUGCUCGGCAAACAUCUCCGGAUACUGGGUCACAUCUCUUCGUUGGUUCUGGAAGCUUCCGGCAUCUUCUGGAAAUUGCACUCCAUCUGGGAUUCCUUGACAUGCCAGAGUAGUCCCAAGAUGGUAGACUUUUCAAUUCCCAUGAAGAAGACAGCCUAGCAUCAGCCAGAGGUAUAGACUCAGCUUCCAGACCACCAAGAUUGAAAUUCCAUCUGAGCCAUUCCAUCUUGAGCUGGGUCACUUUGGCCAAUUUACUCCGCUUCUCUAUGUUUUAUCAUCUGUGAAAUGGUGAUGAAAGCCGUCAUCUCCUCAAGGGGUUAUCGAGAAGAUUAAAGGAGUUCGUGUAUUGUUCACACGCCAAAGACCACAAGGAGCACAUCUGUAGCCAGAACUGGGUUCAUUAUUUGCCUCAGCAGUAAUAAGGGAGGCAAUAAAUAAAUAAUAGUAAAUAACAACUAAAGAGAGAUGCGUGCCAUGGGGAGCUCUGAGGCACCACUCGGCAUCCCAGGAAGAGGGUGGUACCCUCUCAGGAGGGGCCUUUUUUAAAGGAUUUGAGUUUGUGUUGAGUGAUUUUGGAGAGGGUCUAAGAAAGUGGACAGUUGUUGCCGUCAGAGAGUGGGGACGAUUCCAUGAUGGGUAGCUUGAAUUUUUUUAUCUAGAAGGUGGGGGAUCAAGGAAGGCUAAAGCCAUAAUUGGGAAAGAAGCAGUGAUCACUCUUGUGAGCCAGAAGAAAGCAAAGUUUGGUCACUGUAGGUGUUUGAGUUGUGUUCUUGUUCUUGUCUUUACUCAGGUGUCAUUAUGGAGGAGUCUGGGGCACAGUGACCUCAUCUGAUGUUCAUGGUCUGUGCCAUUGUUCACGCGUAGCGGGAGAACACCCGGGUCCAGCUCCGAGCGUCAGGCCAGCGACCAGCUACCGCCAGAGCAGCUUUGUUCUCUCUCUUAAAACGUAUAUUUUUAGCACAGAGUAUGACACGCUAUGGCUAACAUUCCAUCCCUCCUUAUAGUUCGGGAUGUAUAGGCUUUGUGUCCCCAGACAGGACUCCGUGCUGGUCGGCAGUGACGCACCUCGCAUGCUCCAGCUCUCCUAGGGCACUUGACCCCACGAGCUGCACUCACAGAAGCUAUUGUGUCUCGCAUUGGAUGUCGCAGUAUUUUUCUCUGCUCUGGUCAAGCCAUCACCUUUUUCAUGAUCACUUUUAUGGGAGAUCUUUUCUUGAGUAUCAAAUGACACAGAAUAUCAGGGAGGCAUUGUCUGAAGAUUAUUAGACACGCGUCAUCUUUGCACAUCAAGGCAAAAACGAGUAAGAUAUUUCCACCGAAGUAGAAAUGUGCCUAUCUCUGUAUUUCCCUUACUAUUUACACAUUUUCUGACGUUUUCUGUGUGGGGGAUAGAAUAAAACAUGUAAAUAAAGAUGUUCGCCUGCCUAAAUCUGUAAAAGUAUAGGAUUUCCAAACAAUCUGGAAAUCUCUGGUA
Long non-coding RNA from Ailuropoda melanoleuca (giant panda), 1878 nucleotides. RefSeq lists it as uncharacterized. The record is from RefSeq and is a predicted model, not a curated record. The transcript has 4 exons. Lineage: Eukaryota; Metazoa; Chordata; Mammalia; Carnivora; Ursidae.